This is a non-coding RNA of Salmo salar (Atlantic salmon), 66 nucleotides long. The record is from Rfam. Lineage: Eukaryota; Metazoa; Chordata; Actinopteri; Salmoniformes; Salmonidae.
GAGUGAAAUUAUGGCAUAUCUUUCAGGACAGACCUGACUAUGGUGACCAAUUUAUACUGAACACUA